Molecule: transfer RNA, 64 nt
Filed under: Protohermes walkeri
Lineage: Eukaryota; Metazoa; Arthropoda; Insecta; Megaloptera; Corydalidae
Description: tRNA-His
Source: RNAcentral
GUUUAAAUAGUUUAAGAGAAAAUUUUGAUUUGUGGUGUCAAUGAUGUAGUUAAUACUUUAAACC